GUGAGGAAUAUUGGACAAUGGGCGCAAGCCUGAUCCAGCCAUGCCGCGUGCAGGAAGACGCAUCUAUGGUGUGUAAACUGCUUUUGUACGGGAAGAAACACUCCCUCGUGAGGGAGCUUGACGGUACCGUAAGAAUAAGGAUCGGCUAACUCCGUGCCAGCAGCCGCGGUAAUACGGAGGAUCCAAGCGUUAUCCGGAAUCAUUGGGUUUAAAGGGUCCGUAGGCGGUUUAAUAAGUCAGUGGUGAAAGCCCAUCGCUCAACGAUGGAACGGCCAUUGAUACUGUUAGACUUGAAUUACAAGUAAGUAACUAGAAUAUGUAGUGUAGCGGUGAAAUGCUUAGAUAUUACAUGGAAUACCAAUUGCGAAGGCAGGUUACUACUUGUGGAUUGACGCUGAUGGACGAAAGCGUGGGGAGCGAACAGGAUUAGAUACCCGUGUAGUCC
Molecule: ribosomal RNA, 445 nt
Filed under: uncultured bacterium
Lineage: Bacteria
Description: partial 16S ribosomal RNA
Rfam family: Bacterial small subunit ribosomal RNA
Source: RNAcentral